Molecule: transfer RNA, 61 nt
Filed under: Otobius lagophilus
Lineage: Eukaryota; Metazoa; Arthropoda; Arachnida; Ixodida; Argasidae
Description: tRNA-Leu
Source: RNAcentral
AUUAAAGUGGCAGAUUGAAUGCAAUAGAUUUAAGCUCUGUAGAUGAAUUUUUCCUUUAAUA